GCCAUCUUCCUCUCUCCCGAAAAAUGCAAUUUAAUCAAAAACCUUCAGCUCCAUUACCGCUGCCAUGGCCACAAAAGCACAAAGAAACCUCUCAAUUUUCUACACUAGAAGACACUUCACCGUCGCCGGAGCCAAAGUCGCCGGAACGAGGUCUCCGGCAUCAUCGAAGAUUGGAAACUUACUCGUCGUCGCUUCAAUUACAAAAGCUUUGACAGCACCAGGAGGAACACGUAACCUAGAAAAAUACAACGAUUCAAUUGCCGUAUCAGAAAACCUAGUCCUUCAAAUCCUUCGCCGUAACAAUUUAGACGCCGCCACUAAACUCGACUUCUUCAAAUGGUGCUCUCUCAGGCCCAAUUUCAAACACUCAAUAGAAACUUACUCUCAAAUGUUCAGAUCCAUUUGCUAUUAUAAUUCUCACAAUCACCGGGAAGAUAUAUUCGUUCUCCUCAACUCCAUGAAGCAUGACGGAGUGUCGCUUAAUUCAGCCACAUUUAAGUUGUUGCUCGACUCGUUUACUCGAGCUGGUAAUUUCAAUUCUGCGCUUGAGCUUUUGGAAUUCAUGGAGAGUGAUCUGGAAAAUUCUAAUAAUAAUUGUUUAAGUCCUGAUGUGUAUAAUUCUGUGCUUAUUGCACUUGUACAAAAAAAUCAAGUUAGUUUAGCUUUGUCAAUUUUCCUUAAAUUGUUGGAAACUAAUGAUGGGAAUGGUAAUAGCAUUGGGAUUAGCGAUGCUGUUGCAUGUAAUGUGUUGCUUGUUGGUCUUAAGAGGGCUAAUAUGAGGGAUGAAUUUAAACAAGUUUUUGAUAAGCUUAGAGGAAAGAAGAAUAUUUUUCCGUUGGAUAGAUGGGGAUAUAACAUAUGCAUUCACGCAUUCGGGUGUUGGGGGGAUUUGUCUAGUUGCUUGAGUCUUUUUAAAGAAAUGAAGGAAAGGGGAAGUUGGUUUAGUCCCGACUUGUGCACUUAUAAUAGCUUGAUUCAUGUGCUUUGCUUGCUCGGGAAGGUUAAGGAUGCUCUUGUUGUGUGGGAGGAAUUGAAGGGAUCUUCGGGUUUGGAACCUGAUGUUUAUACUUAUCGAAUUGUUAUACAAGGUUGCUCUAAGGCUUACCUGAUAAAUGAUGCGAUAAAAGUGUUCAGUGAGAUGCAGUAUAAUGGUAUACGUCCGGAUACUAUUAUUUAUAACUCCCUCUUAGAUGGAUUGCUCAAGGCGAGAAAGUUGAAAGAUGCGUGCAAUUUGUUUCAGAAAAUGAUUGAAGAUGAUGGUGUUCGAGCCAGUUGUUGGACCUAUAAUAUUCUUAUUGAUGGAUUGUUUAAGAAUGGGAGGGCUUUGGCUGCUUGUACCCUAUUCUGUGAUUUGAAGAAGAAAAGUAAUAAUUUUGUGGAUGGCGUUACUUAUAGCAUUGUCAUUUUGCAUCUUUGUCAGGAAGGUAGGCUUGAUGAAGCACUGAAGUUGGUGGAAGAGAUGGAAGCUAGAGGGUUUACUGUUGAUUUGGUUACCAUAACUUCUCUUUUGAUUGCGAUUUACCGGGAGGGGCAUUGGGACUAUACAGAGAGGCUUGUAAAGCACGUUAGGGAGAACAAUUUAGUUCCAAUUAUUCUCAGGUGGAAAGACAGUAUGGAAGCUACAAUGAAAGCUCCACAGAGCAGAGAAAAGGAUUUUACACCCAUUUUUCCAUCCAAUGGGAACUUUGGUGAUAUUCUAAGCCUAGAAGAUUUAACAGACCCUGAGACUGAUACUGCCCUUGGGGUAGAGGAUGAAAGGGAUCCGUGGUCAUCAUCACCAUAUAUGGACUUGCUGGCUAGUAAAGCGAGCUCCCAAAGUCAUGCUACAAGAGCGUUCUCUCUUACCGGAGGAAAACGAGUAGACACUAAAGGUGCAGAUUCUUUUGAUAUUGACAUGGUGAAUACCUUCUUAUCAAUAUUUUUGGCCAAAGGAAAAUUGAGCAUGGCUUGUAAGUUAUUUGAAAUUUUCACCGACAUGGGUGCUGACCCUGUUAGUUAUACUUACAACUCUAUGAUGGGUUCAUUUGUCAAGAAGGGAUAUUUCGACCAGGCUUGGGGUGUUUUAGAGAAAAUGGACAAGAAGGUUUGCCCUGCUGAUGUAGCAACUUACAAUGUGAUAAUCCAAGGGUUGGGAAAGAUGGGAAGGGCUGAUCUUGCCGGUGCAGUACUCGACAAGCUGAUGAAACAGGGGGGUUACCUUGACAUUGUAAUGUAUAACACCUUGAUAAAUGUGCUCGGGAAGACUGGCAGAAUUGAGGAAGUAAACAAGCUUUUCCAGCAGAUGAAAGAUAGUGGAAUCAAUCCAGAUGUUGUCACUUACAAUACACUAAUCGAAGUUCAUGCAAAGGCAGGUCAGCUUAAGCAAGCUUACAAGUUUUUAAGGAUGAUGUUGGAAGCAGGGUGUGCCCCCAAUCAUGUCACUGACACAACUUUGGACUUUCUGGAGAAGGAGAUUGAAAAACUGAGAUACCAGAAGGCUUCCAUUAAACGCCCCAAUGUAGAUAACUCAUUAUGAGAAGCACUUUAACCUUUAGAGGAGUGAGUUCAGGUAUGAUGUUCUUCCAUAAACUAGUGAAUUCAGCAUUUGCAUUGUAUUCAAUAUUGUUUAAACAGUUGUUCUUCUGGUUUAAAGUGGGAUUUUUUUUAAAAGUAAAGGCAGGCAAUUCAUAUGGCUGGUAUUCAGAAUAGAGUUGGUUUUUCAUGAAUGUAAAAGCAGGAAGAAGUUGAAUUCAUAGAAUCAAGUUUCUAGAAUUCAUAGCAAAAGUGAGUGCAAAGGGUUGUCAAAACUCAUAAAUUGGAGAAACAAAGAAGCAGAAGAAAACCAUCUGACAGGGAGUUGAUGAUGGCACAGAACUGAGCUCUCACAAUGGCUGUUUCUCAUCAUAGUAGAUUGCUUUGAAAUGUUGCUGCUGGCCAAUGAGCUGCUGACUGGCUAAAUUUGAGAUGUCAGGGGGGAGAAUAAGUUUGAAGAUAAGAGAAAGCUAGAAGUUAAUUGAACAUAUCAUGGAAGCAUGCAUCUAUUGGCAGCAAAUACAUGUGGAUUGACACCUCAUAUAUUAUAUUCUCCGAAGAAUAAGAAGGUCAAUACACCCGUCAAAUAAGUAGGAUGAAAAACAUAGGAGACCAGGGUUCAAUUCCACCAAGAGUGGCGAAAAAGCUAAGUGAUUUCUUCCUAUCUGCUAAGCCCUGAUGAACAGAGUUAUCCGGGAUCUAGCUUCAAAUCCUCAUGCCAAGGUGGAAGAAAUAAGGGGAUAACAGGGCUGUAAUUUGAACUUUUGAAAACUGCUGAAUGAUUGGGAAGUUGAUAGAGUUGCUGCAUUGGUAAACCAAAUUGAUCAACUGCAAGGCCUCACAGACUGUGAGGAUUCUUUGGUAUGGAAGGGGUCAAGCACCAGAUAUUUCUCAGUGAAUUCUGCUUACAAAAGCCUAAUGGGCAAUGCCCAUUUUGGUAGGAGUUGGCCUUGGAAACUAAAAGGUAAAUACACCCACAAAGGUGCUAUGGUAUGGUUAGUGGCCAGAAAAGCUUGCUUGACCGAUGAAAAGCUUAAGAGAAGGGGAUAUCAACUGCCCUCCAGAUGCUAUCUCUGUGGAAAGGAAGCAGAACACAACUCCCAUCUGUUUCUUCACUGCAUUGUUACCUCUCAACUGUGGCACAUAUUUCUGAAUAUUGUCAGAAUGAACUGGGUCAUGCCAAAAGAUACAACUGACCUCUUGAGAUGUUGGGCUGGUGUGACAGGUGGAGUCAGACAGUAGAAAUGGUCCCAGCAUGCAUUUGGUGGACAGUCUGGAACGAGAGGAACUCCAAAUGUUUCGAGGAUUUUAGCAACUCUAUUCAGAGAAUCAAAAUGAACUGUUUAGUACUUUUUCUUUUUCGGUGUAAAGAAUGCCCUGUAAAUGAUAGUGACUCCAUACUUGAUAGUUGAUACCAUAGAAUCCUUGUAAGUUUCUGUAGUAGGGGAUUCUUUACUGUUUUUGGUAUAUGUAUUUGUCACUUUUAGCAGCACAAACUUUGUGCUGUUUUCUUUUAUAAAGUGUUACCAUUCUCAAAAGAGUUAUCCGGGAUCUAUGCUAGUGGGACUUGUGCAAAAUUUUUGGAGAUAACACUCUGUUACAACUUCAGAAGUGUGUACGGCUCUUCUCGUGGAGAUAAGGAAUUCAAUGAAGACGUGAAACUAGAAGAACGUUGAAGCAACCCAAAGCAGACACGCCUCAGAACGCAAGGAAGUGAAGUACAAAAGUAUGGAGGUAUCAGCUGACUGAACACUGCCUAAUAUUAACUAGGUUGAAUAUCUUAAUUUAAUGUACCAUACAAAGCAUAUGCAUUUGAGUUGCUUUCUGUUUCUAUCUUAGACUUGCUAGUUUACUUGAGAGUUGGAUUAUAUUUAUUCA
Molecule: non-coding RNA, 4389 nt
Organism: Nicotiana tabacum (common tobacco)
Lineage: Eukaryota; Viridiplantae; Streptophyta; Magnoliopsida; Solanales; Solanaceae
Source: RefSeq, a predicted model, not a curated record